RNAcentral lists this long non-coding RNA (798 nucleotides) under Chrysolophus pictus (golden pheasant). Its description in RNAcentral is "lncRNA (ENSCPIG00010011488.1)". Lineage: Eukaryota; Metazoa; Chordata; Aves; Galliformes; Phasianidae. The record is from RNAcentral.
CACGGAGGAGCCGCCCGCCGGCAGCGCGCGUGCCCCGAACCAAGAUGGCGCCGCCCGCUUCUUUUGCCCGCGGCGCUGUGGUGGUGGGCGCGCUCGCCUCCCUGCUGCUCGCGGGGUGCGGGGCCUGAGGGGGGGUAAGGAGCGGGCCGGCAUGCUUCACCUUAUCGCCCCUCACUCAGCGUUUUGCUUCAGCCCGAUUUUCUCCUUAGUAGCGAGAGGGGGAAAGCUUGCAGCCAUGGCUCCCACUGCUCACAGGAAGAAAGGUUAUCGGCUGUGACCUGCUCCUCUGCUUCACGGGUUUUCAGUAAACAGCAACAGCUUGUGGAGAAAGGCGAGCUGAGAUUGACAAACCGUGAAGGAAGAAGAGGAUCCUGAAGCAGUGACAAGCUCUUUGCACCUGGCACCUGUCCCAGAGGACUGCUCCCAUAUCAGUGCUGUUCCUAGUGGGACCAUGGAAGGAGAAGAGACAUCACCAAGUCAUCACUCAGAGGAGAGCAGCAUAUUGGACCUCCCCUCUGUCUGUGACCUAGCAGAGGGCUUUCUGUCUCCACACAACACUGAGAGCAGUGAGGAACUUCUUAAUUUUGUGGAUACUUUUCCCUCUCCACUCACAGUCCAUUCAGAGACUUACAGAGCCACACAGCCAUGCCACUGUCUGAGAAGUGAAGCUUGGCAGGUGAGCCAGCCCAUCAAGGACCUGAAGAUUCACUUCUUACCUGAUAAACAUUUCCAAUUUCAAUUUGUGGAUGCUUGCAAUGCAGAAAUUCCUGCAGAAAGCUGAUUGAUUAAAUGGUAAAC